Molecule: RNA transcript, 3073 nt
Organism: Carlito syrichta (Philippine tarsier)
Lineage: Eukaryota; Metazoa; Chordata; Mammalia; Primates; Tarsiidae
Gene: PABPC1
Gene name: poly(A) binding protein cytoplasmic 1
Exons: 15
Source: RefSeq, a predicted model, not a curated record
CGCCCCAGCCCCACCCCCACACCGCAGCAGCAGCCACCGCCACCUCUCCCUUCUGUGCUCUUUCCUCCUCCUGUUUUCUCUUCCCUCCUCCUCCUCGCCUCCUUUUCUCCUCCUCCUCCGGCGCUGACGCUCGCGUAGGGCCCUGGCGUCAGACGCGCGGGGGCGGGGCGAGUGCGGCGGGGGGUAUAAGUAGAGGGUGCAGGAGGCGGUGCUUCCCCUUCUCCCCGGCGGUUAGUGCUGAGAGUGCGGAGUGUGUGCUCCGGGCUCGGAACACACAUUUAUUAUUAAAAAAUCCAAAAAAAAUCUAAAAAAAUCUUUCAAAAAACCAAAAAAAAAUUACAAAAAAUCCGCGUCUCCCCGCCGGAGACUUUUAUUUUUUUUCCUUCCUCUUUUAUAAAAUAACCCGGUGAAGCAGCCGAGACCGACCCGCCCGCCCGCGGCCCCGCAGCAGCUCCAAGAAGGAACCAAGAGACCGAGGCCUUCCCGCCGCCCGGACCCGACACCGCCACCCGCGCUCCCCGCCGGCACUCGGCCUCAGCGGCAGCGGAUCGACCCCGUCCUGCGGCCGUUGAGUAGUUUUCGAUUCCGGUGGAUUUUUGUCCCUCUGCGCUUACCCCCGCUCCCCUCCCCCCGGCUCCGGCCCCCGGCCCCGGCACUCGUUCUCCUCCGCUCACGGAAAGGUCGCGGCCUGUGGCCCCGCGGGCAGCCGUGCCGAGAUGAACCCCAGCGCCCCCAGCUACCCCAUGGCCUCGCUCUACGUGGGGGACCUGCACCCCGACGUGACCGAGGCGAUGCUCUACGAGAAGUUCAGCCCGGCCGGGCCCAUCCUCUCCAUCCGGGUCUGCAGGGACAUGAUCACCCGCCGCUCCUUGGGCUACGCGUAUGUGAACUUCCAGCAGCCGGCGGACGCGGAGCGUGCUUUGGACACCAUGAAUUUUGAUGUUAUAAAGGGCAAGCCAGUACGCAUCAUGUGGUCUCAGCGUGAUCCAUCACUUCGCAAAAGUGGAGUAGGCAACAUAUUCAUUAAAAACCUGGACAAAUCCAUUGAUAAUAAAGCACUGUAUGAUACAUUUUCUGCUUUUGGUAACAUUCUUUCAUGUAAGGUGGUUUGUGAUGAAAAUGGUUCUAAGGGCUAUGGAUUUGUACACUUUGAAACACAGGAAGCAGCUGAAAGAGCUAUUGAAAAAAUGAAUGGGAUGCUCCUAAAUGAUCGUAAAGUAUUUGUUGGACGAUUUAAGUCUCGUAAAGAACGGGAAGCUGAGCUUGGAGCUAGGGCAAAAGAGUUCACCAAUGUUUACAUCAAGAAUUUUGGAGAAGACAUGGAUGAUGAGCGCCUGAAGGAUCUCUUUGGCAAGUUUGGACCUGCCUUAAGCGUUAAAGUAAUGACUGAUGAAAGUGGGAAAUCCAAAGGAUUUGGAUUUGUAAGCUUUGAAAGGCACGAAGAUGCACAGAAAGCUGUGGAUGAGAUGAAUGGAAAGGAGCUCAAUGGAAAACAGAUUUAUGUUGGCCGAGCUCAGAAAAAAGUGGAACGGCAGACGGAACUCAAGCGCAAAUUUGAGCAGAUGAAGCAAGAUAGGAUCACCAGAUACCAGGGUGUUAACCUUUAUGUGAAAAAUCUUGAUGAUGGUAUUGAUGAUGAACGUCUCCGGAAAGAGUUUUCUCCGUUUGGUACAAUCACUAGUGCAAAGGUUAUGAUGGAGGGUGGUCGCAGCAAAGGAUUUGGUUUUGUAUGUUUCUCCUCCCCAGAAGAAGCCACUAAAGCAGUUACAGAAAUGAACGGUAGAAUUGUGGCCACCAAGCCAUUGUAUGUAGCUUUAGCUCAGCGCAAAGAAGAGCGCCAGGCUCACCUCACUAACCAGUAUAUGCAGAGAAUGGCAAGUGUACGAGCUGUGCCCAACCCUGUCAUCAACCCCUACCAGCCAGCACCUCCUUCAGGUUACUUCAUGGCAGCUAUCCCACAGACUCAGAACCGUGCUGCAUACUAUCCUCCUAGCCAAAUUGCUCAACUAAGACCAAGUCCUCGCUGGACUGCUCAGGGUGCCAGACCUCAUCCAUUCCAAAAUAUGCCCGGUGCUAUCCGCCCAGCCGCUCCUAGACCACCGUUUAGUACUAUGAGACCAGCUUCUUCACAGGUUCCACGAGUCAUGUCAACACAGCGUCUAACACAUCAACACAAACAAUGGGUCCACGUCCUGCUGCUGCUGCUGCUGCAGCCACUCCCGCUGUCCGCACCGUUCCACAGUACAAAUAUGCCGCGGGAGUUCGCAAUCCUCAGCAACAUCUUAAUGCACAGCCACAAGUUACAAUGCAGCAGCCUGCUGUUCAUGUACAAGGUCAGGAACCUUUGACUGCUUCCAUGUUGGCAUCUGCCCCUCCUCAAGAGCAAAAGCAAAUGUUGGGUGAACGGCUGUUUCCUCUUAUUCAAGCCAUGCACCCUACUCUUGCUGGCAAAAUCACUGGCAUGUUGUUGGAGAUUGAUAAUUCAGAACUUCUUCACAUGCUUGAGUCUCCAGAGUCUCUUCGUUCAAAGGUCGAUGAAGCUGUAGCUGUACUACAAGCCCACCAAGCUAAAGAGGCUGCCCAGAAAGCAGUUAACAGUGCCACUGGUGUUCCAACUGUUUAAAAUUGAUCAGGGACCAUGAAAAGAAACUCAUGCUUCACCGAAGAAAAAUAUCUAAACAUCGAAAAACUUAAAUAUUAUGGAAAAAAACAUUGCAAAAUAUAAAAUAAACAAAAAAAGGAAAGGAAACUUUGAACCUUAUGUACCGAGCAAAUGCCAGGUCUAGCAAACAUAAUGCUAGUCCUAGAUUACUUAUUGAUUUUAAAAACAAACAAAAAAACCACAAAAAAAUAGUAAAAUAUAAAAACAAAUUAAUGUUUUAUAGACCCUGGGAAAAAGAAUUUUCAGCAAAGUACAAAAAUUUAAAGCAUUCCUUUCUUUAAUUUUGUAAUUCUUUACUGUGGAAUAGCUCAGAAUGUCAAUUUUGUUUUAAGUAACAGAAUUGAUAACUGAGCAAGGAAACGUAAUUUGGAUUAUAAAAUUCUUGCUUUAAUAAAAAUUCCUUAAACAGUG